This 589-nucleotide ribosomal RNA is filed under the name uncultured Panulirus. RNAcentral describes it as "SSU rRNA". It matches the Rfam family "Eukaryotic small subunit ribosomal RNA", at positions 595 to 1182 of the family's 1831-position model. The record is from RNAcentral. Lineage: Eukaryota; Metazoa; Arthropoda; Malacostraca; Decapoda; Palinuridae.
UAGCGUAUAUUAAAGUUGUUGCGGUUAAAAAGCUCGUAGUUGGAUUUCAGUUCCGGACUGACUGUUCACCGCCCGGUGCCUACUGUCACGCUCCGAACAGCCGCACCGCCGGCUCGCACGGGGUGCUCUUCAUCGAGUGUCCCGAGUGGCUGGCACGUUUACUUUGAAAAAAUUAGAGUGCUCAGAGCAGGCUCCUUGAACGGCCUGAAUGUCUAUGCAUGGAAUAAUGGAAUAGGACCUCGGUUCUAUUUUGUUGGUUUUCGGAACCCGAGGUAAUGACUAAUAGGAACAGGCGGGGGCAUUCGUAUUGCGACGCUAGAGGUGAAAUUCUUGGACCGUCGCAAGACGAACUACUGCGAAAGCAUUUGCCAAGGAUGUUUUCAUUAAUCAAGAACGAAAGUUAGAGGUUCGAAGGCGAUCAGAUACCGCCCUAGUUCUAACCAUAAACGAUGCUGACUAGCGAUCCGCCGGCGUUAUUCCCAUGACCCGGCGGGCAGCUUCCGGGAAACCAAAGUCUUUGAGUUCCGGGGGAAGUAUGGUUGCAAAGCUGAAACUUAAAGGAAUUGACGGAAGGGCACAGGAAUUGACG